GCGUAAUGAUGGUGGCAGGAGUGCGUAAUGAUGGUGGCAGGAGUGCGUAAUGAUGGUGGCAGGAGUGCGUAAUGAUGGUGGCAGGAGUGCGUAAUGAUGGUGGCAGGAGUGUGUAAUGAUGGUGGCAGGUGUGCGUAAUGAUGGUGGCAGGUGUGAGUAAUGAUGGUGGCAGGUGUGUGUAAUGAUGGUGGCAGGUGUGCGUAAUGAUGGUGGCAGGAGUGCGUAAUGAUGGUGGCAGGAGUGCGUAAUGAUGGUGGCAGGAGUGCGUAAUGAUGGUGGCAGGUGUGCGUAAUGAUGGUGGCAGGAGUGCGUAAUGAUGGUGGCAGGAGUGCGUAAUGAUGGUGGCAGGAGUGCGUAAUGAUGGUGGCAGGAGUGCGUAAUGAUGGUGGCAGGUGUGCGUAAUGAUGGUGGCAGGUGUGCGUAAUGCAGGGCAGCCUGGUGCCCUUGAGCGCUGGAUGGGGAAGAGUGGGAGCAGGCGUGACAGCAUCAUGCAGAGUGAACGGCAAGAAGGUAUUCGUGACUCCGUGGGCGAACAACUUCUCUCCCCUUGAGUGACAGGAGGCGGGGCUUGCUGUGGUUUGUAGUAGGCAUGCAGCAGCAAGAGGGAGAGAGAUGACUCAAGGAGCAAAUGGAGUAAAGUAUAAAAACAUGACAUUAUACGCGUCAUAGUUGUGUAUCACAUUUGACAAACCAAACAUUCAAAUACCGUUAUAGAAGGUAGAGUAAAAACAACAGUUCCAUACCUCAACACUGGCAUAUAGUCAAAUACGGUACAGCACCCUGCACCAGUAGAGAUAUAGUCAAAUACGGUAUAGCACCCUGCACCAGUAGAGAUAUAGUCAAAUACGGUAUAGCACCCUGCACCAGUAGAGAUAUAGUCAAAUACGGUAUAGCACCCUGCACCAGUAGAGAUAUAGUCAAAUAUGGUAUAGCACACUGCACCAGUAGAGAUAUAGUCAAAUAUGGUAUAGCACCCUGCACCAGUAGAGAUAUAGUCAAAUACGGUAUAGCAUCCUGCACCAGUAGAGAUAUAGUCAAAUAUGGUAUAGCACCCUGCACCAGUAGAGAUAUAGUCAAAUAUGGUAUAGCAUCCUGCACCAGUAGAGAUAUAGUCAAAUACGGUAUAGCAUCCUGCACCAGUAGAGAUAUAGUCAAAUACGGUAUAGCACCCUGCACCAGUAGAGAUAUAGUCAAAUAUGGUAUAGCAUCCUGCACCAGUAGAGAUAUAGUCAAAUACGGUAUAGCACCCUGCACCAGUAGAUAUAUAGUCAAAUACGGUAUAGCACCCUGCACCAGUAGAGAUAUAGUCAAAUACGGUAUAGCACCCUGCACCAGUAGAUAUAUAGUCAAAUACGGUAUAGCACCCUGCACCAGUAGAGAUAUAGUCAAAUACGGUAUAGCAUCCUGCACCAGUAGAUAUAUAGUCAAAUACGGUAUAGCACCCUGCACCAGUAGAGAUAUAGUCAAAUACGGUAUAGCACCCUGCACCAGUAGAGAUAUAGUCAAAUAUUGUAUAGCACCCUGCACCAGUAGAGAUAUAGUCAAAUACGGUAUAGCACCCUGCACCAGUAGAGAUAUAGUCAAAUACGGUAUAGCACCCUGCACCAGUAGAGAUAUAGUCAAAUACGGUAUAGCACCCUGCACCAGUAGAGAUAUAGUCAAAUAUUGUAU
Molecule: long non-coding RNA, 1671 nt
Organism: Oncorhynchus keta (chum salmon)
Lineage: Eukaryota; Metazoa; Chordata; Actinopteri; Salmoniformes; Salmonidae
Exons: 3
Source: RefSeq, a predicted model, not a curated record